RNAcentral lists this ribosomal RNA (497 nucleotides) under uncultured bacterium. Its description in RNAcentral is "partial 16S ribosomal RNA". It matches the Rfam family "Bacterial small subunit ribosomal RNA", at positions 28 to 507 of the family's 1533-position model. The record is from RNAcentral.
GAUGAACGCUGGCGGCGUGCCUAAUACAUGCAAGUCGAGCGAACGUACGAGAAGCUUGCUUUUCUGAUGUUAGCGGCGGACGGGUGAGUAACACGUGGAUAACCUACCUAUAAGACUGGGAUAACUUCGGGACACCGGAUCUUAUACCGGAUAAUAUUUUUAACCGCAUGGUUCAAAAUUGAAAGACGGCCUUGCUGUCACUGAUAGAUGCAUCCGCGCUGCAUUAGCUAGUUGGUAAGGUAACGGCAUACCAACGCAACGAUGCAUAGCCGACCUGAAAGGGAGAACGGCCACCCGGGAAGUGAGGCACGGUCCAGACUCCUACGGGGAGAAACGGUAGAGAAUCUUACGGAAUGGAGGAAAGCCUGACGGAGCAAAGCCGAGUGAGUGAUGAAGGUCUUAGGAUCGUAAAACGCUGUUAGUAGGGAAGAAGAAAUGUGUAAGUAACUGUGCACAUCUUGACGGUACCUAAUCAGAAAGCCACGGCUAACUACGUG